GACAGAGGGUGCAACCGUUGUUCGGAUUUACUGGGCGUAAAGCGCGUGUAGGCGGCUUGGCAAGUCGGAUGCGAAAGCCCACGGCUCAACCGUGGAAGCGCACCCGAAACGGCCUCGCUGGAGUCUCGGAGAGGAAGGUGGAAUGCUUGGUGUAGAGGUGAAAUUCGGAGAUAUCAAGCAGAACACCUGCGGCGAAGGCGACUACCUGGCCUGUUCUUGACGCUGAGGCGCGAAAGCUAGGGGAGCAAACGGG
RNAcentral lists this ribosomal RNA (253 nucleotides) under uncultured bacterium. Its description in RNAcentral is "partial 16S ribosomal RNA". It matches the Rfam family "Bacterial small subunit ribosomal RNA", at positions 524 to 776 of the family's 1533-position model. The record is from RNAcentral.